Molecule: non-coding RNA, 571 nt
Organism: Salvia hispanica
Lineage: Eukaryota; Viridiplantae; Streptophyta; Magnoliopsida; Lamiales; Lamiaceae
Source: RefSeq, a predicted model, not a curated record
AAAUACAUUGACCCCAAAAUAAUGAAUUAUGUGUAAAAGCAACAUGUAUAUUGACAAAGAUGUUUGGGUAGUUUGUGACAUUAUUUAAUUAAAUCGCCUCCAAACUAACUACCACUUCCAAUUCUAAUAUUCUAUAAGUAAUGUGUACUAGACGAAGACUUCUCCCUUCAUCUCUAAACUACCUCCAUAUCUCUCUCUAUCUAACCUGCAAUGGGGAAGCUCUGCUGUGAGUCAGACGAUGGCGGAAUCGACAUCCAAGGACUUCUCGUUGCGAUUUUGAUUGCAGUCAUACUGAUGGCUUUAUGCAUGCCGGCGCCAAGAAAACGCGUUACGUACGUGUACCGUUGUUAAUUCAAGAAAAUCGAUUUCUGGAUUACUGAUUAACUUGUGAAAUGAUAUUCAUGGCUCAUUUGUUUUUCCUUUUCAAAUUCAAUUUUCACUUUAAUUGUGUCUGGAUACAUAUCCAGUUUGAUUGAGAAAGAUUUGAAUUCCCAAUUGUAUUUGUUUCUAUGUAUUUGUCAGAUAAAAAAAAUCCUUGAUCAUAUGAAAUAACUUCUUGAGCCCUUUUUAA